AAAAAGCUCGUAGUUGGAUUUCUGCCGAGGACGACCGGUCCGCCCACUGGGUGAGCAUCUGGGACGACCUGGGCAUCCUUCCAGGGAAUGUGUCUGCUCUUGACUGAGUGGUGCAGUAUCUGGAACUUUUACUUUGAGGAAAUUAGAGUGCUCAAAGCAGGCUAAAAUGCCUGAAUAUUCGUGCAUGGAAUAAUAGAAUAGGAUGUCGAUCCUAUUUUGUUGGUUUUCGGGACUCGACAUAAUGAUAAAUAGGGACAGUCGGGGGCAUUUGUAUUCAAACGACAGAGGUGAAAUUCUUGGACCGUUUGAAGACAAACUACUGCGAAAGCAUUUGCCAAGAAUGUUUUCAUUAAUCAAGAACGAAAGUUAGAGGUUCAAAGGCGAUUAGAUACCGCCCUAGUUCUAACCAUAAACGAUGCCAGCUAGCGAUCUGCCUGCGUUUUUACUGUAGACUGGGCAGGAAGCUCCCGGGAAACCAAAGCAUUUGGGUUCCAGGGGAAGUAUGGUUGCAAAGCUGAAACUUAAAGGAAU
RNAcentral lists this ribosomal RNA (531 nucleotides) under uncultured marine eukaryote. Its description in RNAcentral is "bacterial SSU rRNA". It matches the Rfam family "Eukaryotic small subunit ribosomal RNA", at positions 621 to 1153 of the family's 1831-position model. The record is from RNAcentral.